RNAcentral lists this ribosomal RNA (253 nucleotides) under uncultured bacterium. RNAcentral describes it as "partial 16S ribosomal RNA". It matches the Rfam family "Bacterial small subunit ribosomal RNA", at positions 524 to 776 of the family's 1533-position model. The record is from RNAcentral.
CACGUAGGGCGCAAGCGUUGUCCGGAAUUAUUGGGCGUAAAGAGCUCGUAGGCGGUCUGUUGCGUCCGCUGUGAAAACUCGGGGCUUAACCCCGAGCCUGCAGUGGAUACGGGCAGACUAGAGGUAGGUAGGGGAGAAUGGAAUUCCCGGUGUAGCGGUGAAAUGCGCAGAUAUCGGGAGGAACACCGGUGGCGAAGGCGGAUCUCUGGGCCGAUACUGACGCUGAGGAGCGAAAGCGUGGGGAGCGAACAGG